Chiroxiphia lanceolata (lance-tailed manakin) is the source of this 100-nucleotide long non-coding RNA. RefSeq lists it as uncharacterized. Lineage: Eukaryota; Metazoa; Chordata; Aves; Passeriformes; Pipridae. The record is from RefSeq and is a predicted model, not a curated record. The transcript is spliced from 3 exons.
UUGGAACAGUUUCAAGGCUUCUGAGUCCUCUUGAGUAGUUUUGACUUGGUUAUAUCAAGCAAUGUGCCUGUUAUGUCUUUUUUGAAGUAUGAUUUCUACA